AAAAAGCCCAGCCAACCGCCAGAUUCCAGAAAGCUCUUCACGAAAGCAGCUGUGUAAAACCACGCCUUUUCUCUCCCAAGACCCUUGGCGGACCACCAAGAAAGACCACAAGAUGCUGCAAGACAGGAAAUUGCAGCCCUGGGUCCUUCACGAAAUCAAUGUACAUCUGUAGAAAGGGCAAUUAUGGAAAAGCAGGAGAAAAUGGACAUGAAGAUCAACCACCUGUCUUCACUGGUGCAGUCUAUAACAGGAAACAGACGCGCUUUACCCCAGAUGGAUGUGGCCGAAGAGGAAGAGAGUGUUGUCUUUCCUCUAGCAAGCAUUGCUGAUUUAGAUAGGCUAGAGGAAAAACUUGCAGAAAAAGGAUUUAUGCAGAGAAUGGUUAACAGAUCAUCCCUCAGUGAUGGCCCAAUAUGAAGAAGACAGUGUGGAUGAUUUGCUUCAAAGUUUUCACGACAGACGUCGCACGGCAACUCAACUGGUGUGGAACGGGAGGGAAAAAAAGUCCUUCGUAAGACAAACUUCGGAGCACACUUAAUAGAGUUUCAGGAAAACCAGGAAACUCUCACCUGUGACCUGAAGAUCCUCGGCACUCAGGAUCCAGUCCUUUCUGAGCCCCUUGUGCAGGUGCAUUUUGGGUCGGACUCGACUGUUGAUUACGUACAGGAUCCAGUCCUUUCUGAGCCCCUUGUGCAGGUGCAUUUUGGGUCGGACUCGACUGUUGAUUACGUACAGGAUCCAGUCCUUUCUGAGCCUCUUGUGCUGGUGCAAUUUGGGUCGACCUC
Triplophysa dalaica is the source of this 785-nucleotide long non-coding RNA. RefSeq lists it as uncharacterized. Lineage: Eukaryota; Metazoa; Chordata; Actinopteri; Cypriniformes; Nemacheilidae. The transcript is spliced from 6 exons. The record is from RefSeq and is a predicted model, not a curated record.